AUACUUACCUGGUAGGGGGAAUACCACGAUCAAGAAGGUGGUUUCCCCAGGUCGAGGUUCUUCCAUUGAACAUUUUAGUUGGAUUGACCUUUGUGAUUUCUCCAAAUGUGGGAAACUCAACUGCAUAAUUUCUGGUACCAUUGUAAAUACUACUAUA
Molecule: small nuclear RNA, 157 nt
Organism: Protopterus annectens (West African lungfish)
Lineage: Eukaryota; Metazoa; Chordata; Ceratodontiformes; Protopteridae
Product: U1 spliceosomal RNA
Exons: 1
Source: RefSeq, a predicted model, not a curated record